RNAcentral lists this transfer RNA (63 nucleotides) under Anthonomus pomorum (apple weevil). RNAcentral's name for it is "tRNA-Glu". Lineage: Eukaryota; Metazoa; Arthropoda; Insecta; Coleoptera; Curculionidae. The record is from RNAcentral.
AUUUCCAUAGUUUAUGAAAAACGUUACAUUUUCAUUGUAAAAUUAGAUUUAAUCUUGUAAAUA